Molecule: ribosomal RNA, 433 nt
Filed under: uncultured bacterium
Lineage: Bacteria
Description: partial 16S ribosomal RNA
Rfam family: Bacterial small subunit ribosomal RNA
Source: RNAcentral
AACGAACGCUGGCGGCAUGCCUAACACAUGCAAGUCGAACGAGACCUUCGGGCCUAGUGGCGCUCCGGUGCGUAACGCCUGGGAAGUUGCCCUUAGGUUCGGAAUACCUCCCUGAAAGGGGUGCUCAUAACGGAUAAUGUCUUCGGACCAAAGAUCUACCGCGUUGGGAUGGGCCCGCGUUGGUUUCGCUGGGUGGUAGGGUAAUCGCCUACUAAGGCGACGAUGCAUAGCUGGUCUGAGAGGAUGAUCAUCCACACUGGGGCUGAGACACGGCCCAGACUCCUACGGAAGGGAGGAGAGGGGAAUAUUGGAGAAUGGGGGAAAGCCUGAUCCAGCAGUGCCGCGUAAGUGAUGAAGGCGUUAGGGUAGUAAAGCUCUUUUACACGGGAUGUUAGUGACGGUACCGGGAGAAUAAGCUCCGGCUAACUCCGUG